Molecule: ribosomal RNA, 445 nt
Filed under: uncultured bacterium
Lineage: Bacteria
Description: partial 16S ribosomal RNA
Rfam family: Bacterial small subunit ribosomal RNA
Source: RNAcentral
GUGAGGAAUAUUGGACAAUGGGCGCAAGCCUGAUCCAGCCAUGCCGCGUGCAGGAAGACGCAUCUAUGGUGUGUAAACUGCUUUUGUACGGGAAGAAACACUCCCUCGUGAGGGAGCUUGACGGUACCGUAAGAAUAAGGAUCGGCUAACUCCGUGCCAGCAGCCGCGGUAAUACGGAGGAUCCAAGCGUUAUCCGGACUCAUUGGGUUUAAAGGGUCCGUAGGCGGUUUAAUAAGUCAGUGGUGAAAGCCCAUCGCUCAACGAUGGAACGGCCAUUGAUACUGUUAGACUUGAAUUACAAGGAAGUAACUAGAAUAUGUAGUGUAGCGGUGAAAUGCUUAGAUAUUGGGAAGAACACCGGUGGCGAAGGCGACUUGCUGGGCAGCAACUGACGCUGAGGCGCGAAAGCCAGGGGAGCAAACGGGAUUAGAAACCCGUGUAGUCC